UCCAGACUCCUACGGGAGGCAGCAGUGGGGAAUAUUGCACAAUGGGGGGAACCCUGAUGCAGCGACGCCGCGUGGGUGAAGGAGUACUUCGGUACGUAAAGCCCUAUCAGCAGGAAAGAAAAUGACGGUACCUGACUAAGAAGCCCCGGCUAACUACGUGCCAGCAGCCGCGGUAAUACGUAGGGGGCAAGCGUUAUCCGGAUUUACUGGGUGUAAAGGGAGCGUAGACGGCAGUGCAAGUCCGGAGUGAAAGCCCGGGGCUCAACCCUGGGACUGCAUUUGGAACUGUGUGGCUGGAGUGUCGGAGAGGCAGGCGGAAUUCCUAGUGUAGCGGUGAAAUGCGUAGAUAUUAGGAGGAACACCAGUGGCGAAGGCGGCCUGCUGGACGAUGACUGACGUUGAGGCUCGAAAGCGUGGGGAGCAAACAGGAUUAGAUACCCCAGUAUCC
RNAcentral lists this ribosomal RNA (448 nucleotides) under uncultured bacterium. Its description in RNAcentral is "bacterial SSU rRNA". It matches the Rfam family "Bacterial small subunit ribosomal RNA", at positions 330 to 795 of the family's 1533-position model. The record is from RNAcentral.